GGUUAAGCGACUAAGCGUACACGGUGGAUGCCCUGGCAGUCAGAGGCGAUGAAGGACGUGCUAAUCUGCGAAAAGCGUCGGUAAGGUGAUAUGAACCGUUACAGCCGGCGAUGUCCGAAUGGGGAAACCCAGUGCAAUUCGUUGCACUAUCGUUAACUGAAUACAUAGGUUAACGAGGCGAACCGGGGGAACUGAAACAUCUAAGUACCCCGAGGAAAAGAAAUCAACCGAGAUUCCCCCAGUAGCGGCGAGCGAACGGGGAGCAGCCCAGAGUCUGAAUCAGCUUGUGUGUUAGUGGAACGGUCUGGAAAGUCCGACGGUACAGGGUGAUAGUCCCGUACACCAAAAUGCACAGGCUGUGAACUCGAAGAGUAGGGCGGGACACGUGGUAUCCUGUCUGAAUAUGGGGGGACCAUCCUCCAAGGCUAAAUACUCCUGACUGACCGAUAGUGAACCAGUACCGUGAGGGAAAGGCGAAAAGAACCCCGGCGAGGGGAGUGAAAAAGAACCUGAAACCGUGUACGUACAAGCAGUGGGAGCACCUUCGGGUGUGACUGCGUACCUUUUGUAUAAUGGGUCAGCGACUUAUAUUCUGUAGCAAGGUUAACCGUAUAGGGGAGCCGCAGGGAAACCGAGUCUUAACUGGGCGUUAAGUUGCAGGGUAUAGACCCGAAACCCGGUGAUCUAGCCAUGGGCAGGUUGAAGGUUGGGUAACACUAACUGGAGGACCGAACCGACUAAUGUUGAAAAAUUAGCGGAUGACUUGUGGCUGGGGGUGAAAGGCCAAUCAAACCGGGAGAUAGCUGGUUCUCCCCGAAAGCUAUUUAGGUAGCGCCUCGUGAACUCAUCUUCGGGGGUAGAGCACUGUUUCGGCUAGGGGGUCAUCCCGACUUACCAACCCGAUGCAAACUACGAAUACCGAAGAAUGUUAUCACGGGAGACACACGGCGGGUGCUAACGUCCGUCGUGAAGAGGGAAACAACCCAGACCGCCAGCUAAGGUCCCAAAGUCAUGGUUAAGUGGGAAACGAUGUGGGAAGGCACAGACAGCCAGGAUGUUGGCUUAGAAGCAGCCAUCAUUUAAAGAAAGCGUAAUAGCUCACUGGUCGAGUCGGCCUGCGCGGAAGAUGUAACGGGGCUAAACCAUGCACCGAAGCUGCGGCAGCGACACUAUGUGUUGUUGGGUAGGGGAGCGUUCUGUAAGCCUGCGAAGGUGUGCUGUGAGGCAUGCUGGAGGUAUCAGAAGUGCGAAUGCUGACAUAAGUAACGAUAAAGCGGGUGAAAAGCCCGCUCGCCGGAAGACCAAGGGUUCCUGUCCAACGUUAAUCGGGGCAGGGUGAGUCGACCCCUAAGGCGAGGCCGAAAGGCGUAGUCGAUGGGAAACAGGUUAAUAUUCCUGUACUUGGUGUUACUGCGAAGGGGGGACGGAGAAGGCUAUGUUAGCCGGGCGACGGUUGUCCCGGUUUAAGCAUGUAGGCUGGUUGUCCAGGCAAAUCCGGAUAAUCAAGGCUGAGGUGUGAUGACGAGGCACUACGGUGCUGAAGUAACAAAUGCCCUGCUUCCAGGAAAAGCCUCUAAGCAUCAGGUAACAUUAAAUCGUACCCCAAACCGACACAGGUGGUCAGGUAGAGAAUACCAAGGCGCUUGAGAGAACUCGGGUGAAGGAACUAGGCAAAAUGGUGCCGUAACUUCGGGAGAAGGCACGCUGGUGUGUAGGUGAAGUCCCUGCGGAUGGAGCUGAGACCAGUCGAAGAUACCAGCUGGCUGCAACUGUUUAUUAAAAACACAGCACUGUGCAAACACGAAAGUGGACGUAUACGGUGUGACGCCUGCCCGGUGCCGGAAGGUUAAUUGAUGGGGUUAUCCGUAAGGAGAAGCUCUUGAUCGAAGCCCCGGUAAACGGCGGCCGUAACUAUAACGGUCCUAAGGUAGCGAAAUUCCUUGUCGGGUAAGUUCCGACCUGCACGAAUGGCGUAAUGAUGGCCAGGCUGUCUCCACCCGAGACUCAGUGAAAUUGAACUCGCUGUGAAGAUGCAGUGUACCCGCGGCAAGACGGAAAGACCCCGUGAACCUUUACUAUAGCUUGACACUGAACAUUGAGCCUUGAUGUGUAGGAUAGGUGGGAGGCUUUGAAGCGUGGACGCCAGUCUGCGUGGAGCCAACCUUGAAAUACCACCCUUUAAUGUUUGAUGUUCUAACGUUGGCCCCUUACCGGGGUUGCGGACAGUGUCUGGUGGGUAGUUUGACUGGGGCGGUCUCCUCCCAAAGCGUAACGGAGGAGCACGAAGGUUAGCUAAUCCUGGUCGGACAUCAGGAGGUUAGUGCAAUGGCAUAAGCUAGCUUGACUGCGAGCGUGACGGCGCGAGCAGGUGCGAAAGCAGGUCAUAGUGAUCCGGUGGUUCUGAAUGGAAGGGCCAUCGCUCAACGGAUAAAAGGUACUCCGGGGAUAACAGGCUGAUACCGCCCAAGAGUUCAUAUCGACGGCGGUGUUUGGCACCUCGAUGUCGGCUCAUCACAUCCUGGGGCUGAAGUAGGUCCCAAGGGUAUGGCUGUUCGCCAUUUAAAGUGGUACGCGAGCUGGGUUUAGAACGUCGUGAGACAGUUCGGUCCCUAUCUGCCGUGGGCGCUGGAGAAUUGAGGGGGGCUGCUCCUAGUACGAGAGGACCGGAGUGGACGCAUCACUGGUGUUCGGGUUGUCAUGCCAAUGGCACUGCCCGGUAGCUAAAUGCGGAAGAGAUAAGUGCUGAAAGCAUCUAAGCACGAAACUUGCCCCGAGAUGAGUUCUCCCUGAGACUUUAAGUCUCCUGAAGGAACGUUGAAGACGACGACGUUGAUAGGCCGGGUGUGUAAGCGCAGCGAUGCGUUGAGCUAACCGGUACUAAUGAACCGUGAGGCUUAACCUU
RNAcentral lists this ribosomal RNA (2902 nucleotides) under Klebsiella pneumoniae. RNAcentral's name for it is "23S ribosomal RNA". It matches the Rfam family "Bacterial large subunit ribosomal RNA". The record is from RNAcentral. Lineage: Bacteria; Pseudomonadati; Pseudomonadota; Gammaproteobacteria; Enterobacterales; Enterobacteriaceae.